Non-coding RNA from Acanthosepion pharaonis, 110 nucleotides. The record is from the annotation of a GenBank genome assembly. Lineage: Eukaryota; Metazoa; Mollusca; Cephalopoda; Sepiida; Sepiidae.
ACAGCUAUAGCACAUUGAAACACUGAUUUGCAUAAGAUCCCUGAAGUUAAACAGCAUUGAGCCUAGUCAGUACCUAGAUGGGUGACCACUUGGGAAUACCAAGUGCUGUA